UCAUAUCACAAAAGAGCUUAACAUGCCGGAAACUAGAGUAUACAUCAUAAGCUCGACUUUAGUUUACCCCAUGUAUUAAAAGUCGUUGACAUAUACGGUAACUAAAUUUAAAAGAAGUUUCGUUUUUCUAAACUUCUAUACAACCCAAGUAAUAUUCAUAAUGCUGUACAACCCAAGUAAUAUUCAUAAUGCUAUACAACCCAACCCAAAAGUAUAUCCACAAUGAAGAUAUAAAAAAAGAAAGAAGUCCAUAAAUAUGGAUUUCUUUGACGACAAAUCCUCAUUGAAUUAUAUGGAUUGGGACAUGACCUUUACCUUCUCCUCACGCAACGGGCAUUGUUUGAAGUCUCCCACUGUCCCUCCCUCCUUUAGACCCCACAUUUAC
This 385-nucleotide long non-coding RNA is filed under the name Capsella rubella. Its description in RNAcentral is "long non-coding RNA (CRUB_LNC003293)". The record is from RNAcentral. Lineage: Eukaryota; Viridiplantae; Streptophyta; Magnoliopsida; Brassicales; Brassicaceae.